This 410-nucleotide ribosomal RNA is filed under the name uncultured bacterium. RNAcentral describes it as "bacterial SSU rRNA". It matches the Rfam family "Bacterial small subunit ribosomal RNA", at positions 8 to 422 of the family's 1533-position model. The record is from RNAcentral.
AGAGUUUGAUCCUGGCUCAGAUUGAACGCUGGCGGCAUGCCUUACAUAUGCAAGUCGAACGGCAGCGCGGGGCAACCUGGCGGCGAGUGGCGAACGGGUGAGUAAUAUAUCGGAACGUACCCUGGAGUGGGGGAUAACGUAGCGAAAGUUACGCUAAUACCGCAUACGAUCUAAGGAUGAAAGUGGGGGAUCGCAAGACCUCAUGCUCCUGGAGCGGCCGAUAUCUGAUUAGCUAGUUGGCGGGGUAAAAGCCCACCAAGGCAACGAUCAGUAGCUGGUCUGAGAGGACGACCAGCCACACUGGAACUGAGACACGGUCCAGACUCCUACGGGAGGCAGCAGUGGGGAAUUUUGGACAAUGGGCGCAAGCCUGAUCCAGCAAUGCCGCGUGAGUGAAGAAGGCCUUCGGG